Molecule: ribosomal RNA, 466 nt
Filed under: uncultured bacterium
Lineage: Bacteria
Description: partial 16S ribosomal RNA
Rfam family: Bacterial small subunit ribosomal RNA
Source: RNAcentral
CUACGGGAGGCUCCAGUGGGGAAUAUUGGACAAUGGGGGAAACCCUGAUCCAGCAAUGCCGCGUGUGUGAAGAAGGCCUGCGGGUUGUAAAGCACUUUCGGUUGGGAGGACUGCUUCUAGCACUAAUAUUGUUGGAAGUUGACGUUACCUUCAGAAGAAGCACCGGCUAACUCCGUGCCAGCAGCCGCGGGUAAUACGUAGGGUGCAAGCGUUAAUCGGAAUUACUGGGCGUAAAGCGCGCGUAGGCGGCUAGAUCAGUCGGGUGUGAAAGCCCCGGGCUUAACCUGGGAACUGCAUCCGAUACUGUCUAGCUUGAGUACAGGAGAGGAGAGUGGAAUUCCACAUGUAGCGGUGAAAUGCGUAGAUAUGUGGAGGAACACCAAUGGCGAAGGCAGCUCUCUGGCCUGAUACUGACGCUGAGGUGCGAAAGCGUGGGGAGCAAACAGGAUUAGAUACCCGAGUAGUC